Protopterus annectens (West African lungfish) is the source of this 546-nucleotide long non-coding RNA. RefSeq lists it as uncharacterized. The record is from RefSeq and is a predicted model, not a curated record. Lineage: Eukaryota; Metazoa; Chordata; Ceratodontiformes; Protopteridae. The transcript has 3 exons.
AUGUCCACUGGGGGCUGGGAGGACACUGUGCAAGGAAGCAAGUCCAGCAGCACAAAGGGUCACCUAAGGUAACAACGAAUAACUAGGGUGGGAGUAGAGGCUGGGGCAUAAAAGCGAACACUUUCGCAUGCGCGAAAGUUUUGUGGCAAGUGGGUAACGCAAGAAAAUACCAUGAAAACGGUACGGAAACUUGUGAUGUAACAGGAAGGUCGUGUGCACCAUCGGAGAACAACAUUUAUGGGCUAAAGUCCGGCACAGGAGUGGAAAGAAAAUGCCUUAACGAGAAGACUUAUUCUCCCAUUGGUCAGUUAAAGGAUGAUCAAAAGACCACUGGAGAUUUCUAUCGGAGUAAAGCACCAAAACCACUAUACUCGUACAGCUUUAAAGAAAGAAAGAGGUGCAUAGAUAGGAGUUGGCAAUGUCAGCUGCUGCAACAGAACAAGCUCCUGAGCAUCUACUUCACAGCUUACCUGGACAAACACCAAGCAGUCACCCAGCAUCUCUAUACCUGCAGCAAACUAACAUGCAUAUCAAUUCAGAAAACGU